Molecule: ribosomal RNA, 468 nt
Filed under: uncultured bacterium
Lineage: Bacteria
Description: partial 16S ribosomal RNA
Rfam family: Bacterial small subunit ribosomal RNA
Source: RNAcentral
GACGAACGCUGGCGGCGUGCUUAACACAUGCAAGUCGAACGGAAAGGCCCUGCUUUUGUGGGGUGCUCGAGUGGCGAACGGGUGAGUAACACGUGAGUAACCUGCCCUUGACUUUGGGAUAACUUCAGGAAACUGGGGCUAAUACCGGAUAGGAGCUCCCGCAGCAUGGUGGUGGUUGGAAAGUUUCGGCGGUUGGGGCUGGACUCGCGGCUUAUCAGCUUGUUGGUGGGGUAGUGGCUUACAAAGGGUUUGACGGGUAGCCGGCCUGAGAGGGUGACCGGCCACAUUGGGACUGAGAUACGGCCCAGACUCCUACGGGAGGCAGCAGUGGGGAAUAUUGCACAAUGGGCGGAAGCCUGAUGCAGCAACGCCGCGUGCGGGAUGACGGCCUUCGGGUUGUAAACCGCUUUCGCCUGUGACGAAGCGUGAGUGACGGUAAUGGGUAAAGAAGCACCGGCUAACUACGUG